This 303-nucleotide ribosomal RNA is filed under the name uncultured bacterium. RNAcentral's name for it is "partial 16S ribosomal RNA". It matches the Rfam family "Bacterial small subunit ribosomal RNA", at positions 507 to 807 of the family's 1533-position model. The record is from RNAcentral.
AGCAGUAGCCACGGUAAUACGGAGGAUCCAAGCGUUAUCCGGAAUCAUUGGGUUUAAAGGGUCCGUAGGCAGUCUUGUAAGUCAGUGGUGAAAGCCCAUCGCUCAACGGUGGAACGGCCAUUGAUACUGCAGGACUUGAAUUAUUGGGAAGUAACUAGAAUAUGUAGUGUAGCGGUGAAAUGCUUAGAGAUUACAUGGAAUACCAAUUGCGAAGGCAGGUUACUACCAAUUGAUUGACGCUGAUGGACGAAAGCGUGGGUAGCGAACAGGAUUAGAUACCCGUGUAGUCCCUGUCUCUUAUAC